GUGAGGAAUAUUGGGCAAUGGAGGCAACUCUGACCCAGCCAUGCCGCGUGCAGGAAGACGGUCCUAUGGAUUGUAAACUGCUUUUAUACGGGAAGAAACACCCCCUCGUGAGGGGACUUGACGGUACCGUAAGAAUAAGGAUCGGCUAACUCCGUGCCAGCAGCCGCGGUAAUACGGAGGAUCCAAGCGUUAUCCGGAAUCAUUGGGUUUAAAGGGUUCGUAGGCGGCCUUAUAAGUCAGUGGUGAAAUCUCCUAGCUCAACUAGGAAACUGCCAUGGAUACUGUAGGGCUGGAAUUAUUGUGAAGGAACUAGAAUAUGUAGUGUAGCGGUGAAAUGCUUAGAUAUUACAUGGAAUACCAAUUGCGAAGGCAGGUUACUAACAAUAUAUUGACGCUGAUGGACGAAAGCGUGGGUAGCGAACAGGAUUAGAAACCCGUGUAGUCC
RNAcentral lists this ribosomal RNA (445 nucleotides) under uncultured bacterium. RNAcentral's name for it is "bacterial SSU rRNA". It matches the Rfam family "Bacterial small subunit ribosomal RNA", at positions 354 to 796 of the family's 1533-position model. The record is from RNAcentral.